This 469-nucleotide ribosomal RNA is filed under the name uncultured bacterium. RNAcentral describes it as "partial 16S ribosomal RNA". It matches the Rfam family "Bacterial small subunit ribosomal RNA", at positions 28 to 507 of the family's 1533-position model. The record is from RNAcentral.
GACGAACGCUGGCGGCGUGCUUAACACAUGCAAGUCGAACGGAAAGGCCCUGCUUGCCGGGUGCUCGAGUGGCGAACGGGUGAGUAACACGUGGGUGAUCUGCCCCUUACUUUGGGAUAAGCCUGGGAAACUGGGUCUAAUACUGGAUAGGACCAUGCUGUAGGUGGUGUGGUGGAAAGAUUAGUUUCGGUAAGGGAUGAGCUCGCGGCCUAUCAGCUUGUUGGUGGGGUAAUGGCCUACCAAGGCGUCGACGGGUAGCCAGCCUGAGAGGGUGGACGGCCACAUUGGGACUGAGAUACGGCCCAGACUCCUACGGGAGGCAGCAGUGGGGAAUAUUGCACAAUGGGCGCAAGCCUGAUGCAGCGACGCCGCGUGGGGGAUGACGGCCUUCGGGUUGUAAACUCCUUUCAGCCAUGACGAAGCCCUUGUGGUGACGGUAGUGGUAGAAGAAGCACCGGCUAACUACGUG